ACACGCAUGACACACUGCAUAUCAAUAAGCGGAGGAAAAGAAACUAACAAGGAUUCCCUUAGUAACGGCGAGUGAAGCGGGAAGAGCUCAAAUUUGAAAUCUUCAAGGUUCUACCUUGACGAAUUGUAGUUUAUAGAAGUGUUUUCUGUUAGUAGAGUGGCAAAAGUUCUUUGGAAUAGGACAUCAUAGAGGGUGAGAAUCCCGUAUUUGGUCAUUCCUUCUAGCUUUGUGAUACACUUUCAACGAGUCGGAUUGUUUGGGAAUGCAGUCCAAAAUGGGUGGUAAAUUUCAUCUAAAGCUAAAUAUUGGCGAGAGACCGAUAGCGAACAAGUACCGUGAGGGAAAGAUGAAAAGAACUUUGAAAAGAGAGUUAAACAGUACGUGAAAUUGUCAAAAGGGAAGCGUUUGACACCAGUGUUGUUUUUCCGAAAAUCAAUUACGAAUGUUUUGUUUUUAAGAAGUUAUGACUUCAUCGGCUUGCUUCUUUCUUUACGAAACUUUCUUAAUGCACUUUUCGGUUAACAAGUCAACAUCAAUUUCUUUUGUUGUAAAAGGGUAUGAGGAAGGUGGCUUUCUUUUCGGAGAAAGUGUUUAUAGCCUUGUGCCUCUGCAAUCGGAGAGAUUGAGGUCUGCAGCGUAGAUCCUUCGGGGUUAGAUGCAUUUGUGCUAAGUUAUAGCCUUUCAUAGACAACUUGUUGACUAUGAUCAGUCAUGUAGCUUACUCGCUUAUGCUAUUUUACCUACGCUUAGGAUGUUGA
This 758-nucleotide ribosomal RNA is filed under the name uncultured Neocallimastigales. RNAcentral's name for it is "partial large subunit ribosomal RNA". It matches the Rfam family "Eukaryotic large subunit ribosomal RNA", at positions 23 to 629 of the family's 3401-position model. The record is from RNAcentral. Lineage: Eukaryota; Fungi; Neocallimastigomycota; Neocallimastigomycetes; Neocallimastigales.